Molecule: RNA transcript, 1426 nt
Organism: Asparagus officinalis (garden asparagus)
Lineage: Eukaryota; Viridiplantae; Streptophyta; Magnoliopsida; Asparagales; Asparagaceae
Gene name: zinc finger AN1 and C2H2 domain-containing stress-associated protein 16-like
Exons: 5
Source: RefSeq, a predicted model, not a curated record
CAAUCUCUUGCUGCUUCUAAAUUUUUUACGCGGUUUCUCUCCGUAAAAGCCUGGGAUUCGAAAAUAAAUCUUCGUCAAACUUUCUCUCUCUCUGCAAUUGAUUCUUACCCUAGUUCUUUAAUGGGAACCCCAGAAUUCCCCGAUUUGGGAAAACACUGCAGCGUCGGCGACUGCAAGCUCAACGAUUUCUUGCCCUUCACUUGCGAUCGCUGCCAAAAGGUAUUCUGUCUGCAACAUAGAAGAUACGGUACACACCAGUGUCCGAAUGCAAAUGAUGAGGACAUCACUGUCCUAAAAUGCCCAUUAUGUGCUAAAGGAGUUCGACUUGUUCCAAAUCAAGACCCAAACAUCACAUGGGAUGUUCAUGUUAACACUGAUUGUGACCCAUCAAACUAUCAGAGAGCUACCGAAAAGAAAAAGUGCCCUGUUCCUGGUUGUAGAGAACCGUUGACGAUCUCCAACAAAAUCCAGUGUAGGGACUGUAUCCAAGAUCACUGCUUGAAACACAGGUUUGGGCCAGACCACAAGUGCCCUGGACCAAAGAAACCUGACUCUGGGUUCCCAUUCAUUGGUCUUCUGAAGAGGAAUCAGACAGUGCAACCUAAUUCUGGUUCUUCAAGCGGAGGAUCGUCAUGGUGGAGUUCAAGUUUAAUAAAUGCAGCAUCAAGUGUCAGGGCCAGUGCUGAAUCGGGUAUACAGAGGUUGAGUACAACAACUAAUCAAGCUCUGUGCAAAGCAAAAGAUGGAAUGUCACAGAGCAGUAGUGGAGGUGGUCCUGAGCAAUGUCCUCAGUGUCCAUCAAAGUUCUCCUCUGUCACUGCACUUAUUGAGCAUGUCGAGAAAUCUCACAACAAAGGUGGCCAACAACAGAGAGUGACUGUUGACGUCUGUCCUAAGUGCAGCAGGGCUUUCCAAGAUCCAGUGUUGCUGGUGGAGCAUGUUGAGAAGGACCAUACAGGCACUUCAAAGGCAUAAUGCACGUUAACAUUGAGAAAUUUGUUGAUACUUUUGUUACGAAAACAAGGACUGUUUUCAGUGAGAGCAAGGGAUGCGGAUUGGACAUAAAAUAGCCAUUCGCCUGCUGGCUAGCCAUUGAAGAGGAUUCAGUAUCAUCCCUAGAAGCUAUGGAGGUGGAAAUUGAGCAUUUCAUGCUCAUUCCUGGCCGUUAGGCUCCAAGGCUUGUUGCAGAAGAGCCUAGGCUCUUCUCUUCCUCUUUGGCAGCAUGAAACAUCAAGUCUGUUAUCUCUUGUAAUAUCUUCAGCCAGGAUUGCCUUGGUAGCUGCUUCAUUCACUUCAGAUUCUUCGCCUCAAGCAUCAAAGAUGUUGAAGACUGGGGCUUUGAUCUUGCAUCUGGUGUUGGCGGAUAGAUCAAGAAGAAGCAAGUCCAAUCUGCUGUGGAACAGUAUAUUUCUAAUAUUUGCUCUUC